This is a long non-coding RNA of Centruroides sculpturatus (bark scorpion), 2157 nucleotides long. RefSeq lists it as uncharacterized. The transcript is spliced from 3 exons. NCBI's taxonomy places the organism in Eukaryota, Metazoa, Arthropoda, Arachnida, Scorpiones, Buthidae. The record is from RefSeq and is a predicted model, not a curated record.
GAUGUCCUAAGUCCAAAUAUGCAAAAAUCUGGGAUCGUCAUAUUUUCCCUCUGUUAUAACAGCCAAGAAUGUAAAAAUGAAAGAAAAAUUCAAAAGUUGUGCUUCAAAGCUAAAUUUCAAAAACAAAUGCAAAUGUAUAAACUUAAAAAGAAAAUUCGUAGAAAAACUAAAAUAAUAAUAACUAAUAACAAUGUCGAUCAUCAUCAUCAGACACAUGAAGUGACAUAUGUAGAAACUUGUUGACCAAUUGUUUGAUGAUAAUCGAUAACAAUAACUUAAGUUGUCAAAUUUUCCUUAUUAUAGUGUUUUAAAAAUUAUGACGACAAAUAUUUAUUUCAAUUAAGUCGUCGUACCUACAAUACAGUACUGUACCUUUCGCAAAAAGUAUUGCUGCUCUGUUUGAGUUGCUCUGUACUGCAGUACAGAGCAACUCAAAAAUAAAGCCAGCUUGUAAAGCUGGCUUUAUUUUUGAGUUCUGCAAUAAAACACGAAUAAUAAAGUUCCACUAGAGAAAAGUCUGAUAAAUUUUCGUUGGUUUUUUUAAUAUUCUUCUUCUUUCUUCCGGCGUUGAUAUGGAGAUUUUUUUUAAUAUUGGCAUUUGUGACGUCAUAAAUGGAGUGUACUGGCCUUGAGAUAACGAUGGCCACGGCUCACCACCCUUCCACUCCUUUGCAAACCUGGCCGAACCAUAAGAGCCUGGAAAAAUCCCUCAAUAUGGAGUGCCACGAAAUAUAGUGCUGAGCAGCACCAUAAUACUUCUUACAUGUAAAGCGCAGUAACUACAUUAAAAAAUGAGGUCCCGUAAGAAAAAAAAUUACCAAGUUGGGAUGCCACAAUUAGAAAAUGGUUGAAAAAUAAUGGCAUAAAAAAUGCAAUUCAACACAAUAUAUGAGGAAUAUGCCAAGGGGGCUGUAGUAUGGAAGCUAGCCUCUAUUUAGGUGUAGCCUCGUGAAGAAAACUCGGAAAACUCACGUAAUCAACCUGUUAAAUGAGGGGCGAACACUUGACCAAUAACCAGUAUUCAGUGGUUUUAAUACUUAUUCUCAGAUGUAUAAUCCAAUUUGUUACAAUAAUCCAUCUGAAGCUGUCUUGAUAUUAUUAUGCAUUAAACAAGUGGUGGAGAUGAUUUCACACUACGAUUAAAUUAACAACCUUUUAAAACAGGACUCCCUAAAAUGGUCUUUAUGGCAUUUUCUAGAGUCGAUUGAAAACGAUUCAUUAAAAUUAUUAGUGUAAUGGGCUGUGUGGAUGACAGUUCAGGAUAUAAAUUUGCACACUAAGUAGAUCCUUUCAAUGAAAACGGUGUAUGGAUUAAUACUGACUCAGUAGAUUUAAUUAUUAACUGUAUUAGCAAAAAGAAAAAAGGGUCAAUAAAAGAUCGAGAAAUCCUUGAAGGAAUCGACAGUCAAAAAGUUUGGGACCCCGUCUUAAAGUAUUUUAUGUUACCUUCAUAUAUAUUCGUUGCCAAUGAUGAGAUUGAAUACUAAUACCAUCAGAUUUACCAUAAUCAAUUCUGUUGAUUUAAGUGUUGGGAAUGGUUCUCGCGACUUCGAAAGCGCUUAUUUAUUUAUAUUUUAUUUUUUUAAAUUAAGACAUAGGUGGACGAACAAAUGUCCGGAAAAUUUGGAGAAUGGAAGAAUAUGGAAUAAUCGAGAUAUUCUCGCUUAGACAUCAUCAUUACGUAGAAGGGUAUCGUUAAGCAAUGUGCAAAAUUCGGCCCAUAUAAGAUGAAAAUUGAAUUUUUAAUAACGUUACAAUUUGAUGAAGAGAACUUUGUCGUUUGUUGUUUAGGUUCAAAUAGGUUCUUACCAUGACUAAAUGAUGGACAGUAUAUACAUCAGAAUCUCCAUAAUAAACACGAAUACCUCUGACAGUAAAGCCAAAUCCUCUAGCUCCUCGCCUGAUAAUGAUAGGUGGUUUCAAUUGAGCAAUUAGUGGACUUAAUUCUCGACUUGGAGAUGUAUCUCUGGAACUAGUGCUAGAACCUCCAGGUGAACCAAUUGGCUGAGCACCAAAAGUGCCAGACAUAUCUUCUGCAUGCUGUGAAAUAUCAUCAUAACAGAUUUGGUUGCAUUUGAAAUGGUAAAUCUCUCUCUAAACUAUGGGUGGUCAACCUAUGACAUGCAUGCCUAAAGUGGCUCAUAAGGAGAAAGCAUC